This 618-nucleotide ribosomal RNA is filed under the name Salmonella enterica subsp. enterica serovar Newport. Its description in RNAcentral is "partial 23S ribosomal RNA". It matches the Rfam family "Bacterial large subunit ribosomal RNA", at positions 2208 to 2824 of the family's 2925-position model. The record is from RNAcentral. Lineage: Bacteria; Pseudomonadati; Pseudomonadota; Gammaproteobacteria; Enterobacterales; Enterobacteriaceae.
UAAUGUUUGAUGUUCUAACGUGGACCCGUAAUCCGGGUUGCGGACAGUGUCUGGUGGGUAGUUUGACUGGGGCGGUCUCCUCCUAAAGAGUAACGGAGGAGCACGAAGGUUGGCUAAUCCUGGUCGGACAUCAGGAGGUUAGUGCAAUGGCAUAAGCCAGCUUGACUGCGAGCGUGACGGCGCGAGCAGGUGCGAAAGCAGGUCAUAGUGAUCCGGUGGUUCUGAAUGGAAGGGCCAUCGCUCAACGGAUAAAAGGUACUCCGGGGAUAACAGGCUGAUACCGCCCAAGAGUUCAUAUCGACGGCGGUGUUUGGCACCUCGAUGUCGGCUCAUCACAUCCUGGGGCUGAAGUAGGUCCCAAGGGUAUGGCUGUUCGCCAUUUAAAGUGGUACGCGAGCUGGGUUUAGAACGUCGUGAGACAGUUCGGUCCCUAUCUGCCGUGGGCGCUGGAGAACUGAGGGGGGCUGCUCCUAGUACGAGAGGACCGGAGUGGACGCAUCACUGGUGUUCGGGUUGUCAUGCCAAUGGCACUGCCCGGUAGCUAAAUGCGGAAGAGAUAAGUGCUGAAAGCAUCUAAGCACGAAACUUGCCCCGAGAUGAGUUCUCCCUGAGACUUAG